CGAAAGCUUCCACUGGGAUCUGAUAUUUGUUACUGAACCAGUCAAGAUGUCUACCAACGACUCCACUGGAGAUUUUGAUUUUUCAGAAAAGGAACCACGACCCGUCAUCGAAGGAUGAUGGAUGGGAACAAAGAAAUCACAACUAGACGCCAACGAACGACUAGGAAAAACUCGACGUUUAUCGAAACCAACGGAGAGGUGACCAGACAUCAAAGGAUGAAUGGGAAAGAAAU
RNAcentral lists this long non-coding RNA (233 nucleotides) under Lathyrus oleraceus (garden pea). RNAcentral's name for it is "Pisum sativum (pea) long non-coding RNA (PSAT_LNC016991)". The record is from RNAcentral. Lineage: Eukaryota; Viridiplantae; Streptophyta; Magnoliopsida; Fabales; Fabaceae.